AGGUGGUAGAGUUAUUCCCCCACCACCAUUCCUACCUAAGCUGGGUUGGUCCCUGCUGUUACCAAGAAAACGCGGCCAUAGACAUGACUCUACAUGGCUUACAAGGUACUCUGUGGAAUAUGUAUGACUCAAUCUUAUGUUACUGAACUAGCAGUGUCAAUGGUGAACUUCAUCAGCUGUUAUUUUUUCAUCAGAUGUAGAAGCUGAAUACCCUCCCACCCAACAGUCUGUUGGCUGAGCAGUGGUAGUUUUACUGUUGAGUUUUUGAGAUCAGAGCUGAUACUGAGAUUUUUCGGAACCAGAAGAAAUGCACUCAACCGAUAUUACAGAAUACUGAAUGGCUUUGUAAUUUAGCUUCUGUUGCAGCCUUGAUAAUGUUUUGUAAUGAAUGCAACCAAAAACUGAAACAGUGCGCAACAGUGAGAAUAGCUACUCCCACUGUAGGUGGGAUUCACUGGGAUUCAGAGAAAAGCUUCCGACUCAAGGAGAACUGUAGAGUGGUGCUUCUCAAAGGGUGGCCCUCAGACCAGCAGCAUGAGCGUCACCUGACUAUCAUUAGAAAUGCAAAUUCUACUGAAUCAGAAGCUCUGGAGGUGAAGCCAGCAAAACAGUGCUUAGAUGUGAAACAGACUACCGUAAAGUAAUUUUGACGACAACUAACAGUGUUUGAAUCAUGAAGUCAUGUCAAGCUGCUUUAUAUACUUCCUGUGCUAUCAAAGGUAAGAUAAGCGGCAGGAGCUCUAUUCUCACAUGAACUGGCAGCAGAUAUACUUUCUGAGCUCAAAGAAUAUGUCCAGGACCUCAAUGCAAGUGUAAAGGAAAUACCCAUUUGUCAAAAUCCAUUCAAUUAUGCAAUUGAGGAGCUUCCACCUAACCUUCAACCAGGAAGUGAGUCGGGAAGUGAGUAAUCUGCAAUGUAAUAACAUCCUAAAAGAAAAAUAUCAAGAGAAGAAAGAACCUAAUGGAAUUCUUUCAAUGCCUUCCAAGUGAUAAUUAUGCUCCAUGAAAAUCAUCUUCUCGUGGAUUAAUAAAAUUUUUUGCUGACCUCUGCUCUAGAACCAGAUACUACCUGGACACUUUUAAAAGCAUGGACUGAAUGAACUGUCUCUACAGCUGGAUGGCUUGAGUCUGUAUGCUGCUGGCUCUGCCAUUAGCAGCUAUGGGAUCAUGAGUAAGUUCUUCAAUCUUUCUCUGCCUCACCUGUAAAUGGGAGUAAGCAAUGGUAUCUAUUUUACAGGGUUGUUAAGAGGGCUAAGUGAGUUAGUAAAUGCAAAACACAGGAAAGAGUGCCCGGCACAAAGUAAGCAUUAACUCAAUGGCAGCUGUUAGCUUAAGACAAAAGCACUGCUUCACCCAGUUGGUAGUCCAAUUAUAAAUCUCAUCCUCCUAAAACGUCCACUGAAUAAAACAUUUAAGAUGUUUACAUACAUUCCUGGGUGAAAAGAAAAUCCAAAUGCAUGAAGCUAAUAAUAGAGGAUAACCAAGCCCUUUUCCAACUGCCCUUUGCUUCUGCCAUCAAAUAGAAGACAUCGUGGGCCAUACCAACAAGACAGCAGCUCUCAUACAAUGGUUUCUUACGUGGAGGAGAUUGGAUUACUAUUUUAAUAUUCUAAAUGUCACGUAUUACAUUCUUUAUAUUCU
Molecule: long non-coding RNA, 1641 nt
Organism: Globicephala melas (long-finned pilot whale)
Lineage: Eukaryota; Metazoa; Chordata; Mammalia; Artiodactyla; Delphinidae
Source: RefSeq, a predicted model, not a curated record